GACCCAUGCUACCACAUGG
Molecule: small nuclear RNA, 19 nt
Filed under: Arabidopsis thaliana (thale cress)
Lineage: Eukaryota; Viridiplantae; Streptophyta; Magnoliopsida; Brassicales; Brassicaceae
Description: snRNA_17541
Source: RNAcentral